UACGACUAUCACAAUUUGUUUUGCUACAUACCAUCAGUUCAUCACAAUUAUUACUCUAUGUCGAUUAUGGUUUGUUACUACAUACAAACAUCAUUUAAACCAUCACUCGAUCUCCAACUAUUAGUGACAGGUUCAUGUCUAGAACCGACAAUACUGUAUAUAUAUAUUUAGUUCUAUCAGUCCUUGUUACGAAUCUACUAUGAUAAUUGCAACACUAUAAGGUGGGAAAUUAAACUUUACUAUUGGGCAAUAGUUGUAUGACACUAGAACACACCAUCAAAAUUAGAUGAUGAUGAUAGUAAUAAUAGUAGUAAUAGUAAUGACGAUGAUGAUGAUGAAUUAUAUCAUGGUGCAGUGCAGUUUGAUAUAGCUAUAUUGCCACUUGACUCUCCAGAUUAUACUCAUUUUUAAACAUAUAACAUGCGUGUAUCUUGAUUGAAUCUAGCUUUUUCAAAAAUCAGGAAUCAUACAUUUAGGAUUUUUAUGUGAAUAUGGCUAGCUCGUAGGCAUGAGUCAAAUGAUGAUUAUAUUUAGUUUACUAUUACGAUAAAUAUAUUUCUUUUAAAAUUAUUAUUUUUGAAAAGUACUCUGAAUAGUUCUGUUUGUACCAAAGCUUGGUAAUUUUAUGUCCAAUGGAGUAUAUGGAAAGAAUCCGAUAAUGAAGAAGUUUUAUCAGCAUGGACUCUAUAAAAGGAAAAUUGGAGUCCGUGUAUAUUGAUAUUUCCUUUUAGUUUAGAUUUUCUAAGUUAGACAAGUCUUGUACAAACUCAACCACCCGGAGCUAUUAGUCCAGGUUAUAAAUACGUACUACCUCCAUACUCGAAAGAAAGUCAUUUUCGACAAUGACAUGGUCUCCAAAGUUUAACUUUGACUUCUUAUUUUUAUAAAAAUAUUUAUUACAAAGUGAUAUAUUCAUAUGACUUUUGUAUUUUGAAACUCAACAACUUAAAAGUUAUUCACGAUUUAUAUUCCCAAUGUUUGACUCAAAUCUUGUCCAAAAUGACUUUCUUUUCGGGUAUGGAGGGAGUGCUCUGACCAUUGUAAUUUUAUCCAUUUUACACAAUUUUUUAAAUAAGAUGAGUGGUCAAAUUUUGGGUAAAAAUAUUAAAUGAAUUAUUAUUUGAACGUAGGGAGUAGUCAUUAAGCAAGGUAUAGCAGGAAUACAAGAAUACAUGGUCUUUCGAGGGCCAGAGGCUGGGUUAGCUCUCAGGUUCAUUGAAACCUUAAGUGGAAAGUCAUGUUCUCUCUAUGAUAUACCUGGCCAGCGACCCCCAAAUAUAUAUAUGGUCUUUGGAGACUAAAAAGAGGUCUACGGCCUUUAGCAAGUGCAUGUGCAUCUACGGGAAACUGUAUGGACUAGGGAAAAAAAACAACACCAGCCUGAGCUUUCUUUGCACAUCAAUGAGCUAACACAAAUUACAUCUCGACAACACAUGAAUUGAAACGAACUGAAAAACACAUGGUGCUAAUAUAUCCUAGAUUUCGAACAAAAUUUCCAGUCUAUGAAAAUUCACCACCAAAUAAUUUGUCUGAUUACAAAAUUAAUUUUUGUGUGCACCAACAAAUAGUACAAUUUGAUAAUGUUUGAUUGGAUAUUAGCAACUUAACCUUCUGUAGAACUAACAAGUAUUUUUACGAUCCUCGCAAAAAAACAAGUAUUUUACGUAGUAACUGUUUACAGGCAGCGAUUGCACGCCCGAUUUCUGGUCGACGGUAAUAAACCAAUCAUAACGAGUCCAUUUCAAAACCCGCCAACGUUCUCAGAAAACGCCUUUCUUCAGAAUUAUUUCUCUUCUUCAGUGUUCAUCCGAUUCAGACACCAUCGAAGGGGACCUCUCUGGCGGCGAUGUCGUCAUCUUCAGGCCGCCGACGGAGCACCGGUUUCUGAUGGUCCGGAGGCUGAUUGCGCUGCCGAGGGAAUGGAUCCAAGUCGCGGAGAAGGGAGAUUCCGUAGGGGCACUGCUGGGUGGAAGGGGACAAUGCCGGCAUCAGCUGGGACUCGAGAUUCUAUGGCCAUGUAGGCAUAUAUGUCUCCCAUGAAUUUUACCCUUCUUCCAGUAAGUGGCAUUGUGAGUGGGGCCAUAAAAGAGAUUAUUUGUUACUGUGUUCAACCAAAUUUGAGCUUACAGUUCAGUACUGUAAUAGCUUUGAAUACAAUUUUUUUCUGGUAAAGUGGGGCAGUAAGAAAUA
Long non-coding RNA from Panicum virgatum (switchgrass), 2190 nucleotides. RefSeq lists it as uncharacterized. The record is from RefSeq and is a predicted model, not a curated record. The transcript is spliced from 2 exons. NCBI's taxonomy places the organism in Eukaryota, Viridiplantae, Streptophyta, Magnoliopsida, Poales, Poaceae.